CGGCGGACGGGUGAGUAAUGCCUAGGUAUCUGCCCAGUCGAGGGGGAUAACAGUUGGAAACGACUGCUAAUACCGCAUACGCCCUACGGGGGAAAGGAGGGGACCUUCGGGCCUUCCGCGAUUGGAUGAACCUAGGUGGGAUUAGCUAGUUGGUGAGGUAAUGGCUCACCAAGGCGACGAUCCCUAGCUGGUCUGAGAGGAUGAUCAGCCACACUGGAACUGAGACACGGUCCAG
RNAcentral lists this ribosomal RNA (235 nucleotides) under uncultured bacterium. RNAcentral's name for it is "partial 16S ribosomal RNA". It matches the Rfam family "Bacterial small subunit ribosomal RNA", at positions 96 to 334 of the family's 1533-position model. The record is from RNAcentral.